This is a long non-coding RNA of Peromyscus californicus insignis, 1820 nucleotides long. RefSeq lists it as uncharacterized. The transcript has 4 exons. The record is from RefSeq and is a predicted model, not a curated record. Lineage: Eukaryota; Metazoa; Chordata; Mammalia; Rodentia; Cricetidae.
CUUUUCCUGUACCCUUGGUUGGAAUCUUAAAAUGUGAUGUCUUCAGUGACAACUCAGCACUUUCCUUCCUGAGAGAAGUUUUUCUUUUUAAAAUUUAUUUUUUAGUUUUUUGAGACAGGGCCUCACUACGUAUCUCGGGCUGGCCUGAAACUCACUGUAUAGACCAGGCUGGCCUCAAACUCACAGAGGUCUACCUAGCUCUGCCUCCAGGGUGCUGGGAUUAAAGGUGUGUGCCACCAAGCCUAGCUCAUGCAAGAAUUUUUCAUCUGCCGUUCACAUGUACUGCAAAAACACCAGCGGCUGAGGAGAACUCUGUGUCAUCCUUAGAAAUUUCUACAACAAAAAAGUCUCUGCUGUUUCCACUAAGAAGAGGAUUCCAGUCCCUCCCCUUGCACCUGAGUGAGCUGGUGACUGUAGAUUUGCUGGACAGCCGGUCCCAGAGGUGGGACAGAGGGAGCGAAGGGAAAGAACCAUGUGUCAUUCAUUUCUGGAUAAUGACAUUUUCCAGGGUCAUUUCCCUGAGAGAAAAGAAGGUUGAAGAGGGGUGUCCUUGGGUCCCCUUCCUCCAAAAAGACCUCAGGCCGUAGGACCCAGAGUGUGGUUCAUAGAAGAACUGAGGUCCUGGAACCUCUGGGCCUUGGGAGAUGUUUGUGGAGGAUACUACUUUCAGAACUGCCCACAACGACUUGAACAACUUGAGCAUCCUAGUCCCUCACACUGUACAUGAAGAAAGAAGCUCUCCAGUCCUAGGAGGCCGGUGUUCUUCCUGGGCUCAGCGCUUGUGAAAGUUCGUCUUUGAUCAUGCUGUCCACUGUCUGGUGCCAUAGUCUUCGAGGGACAAAGAAGUUUUCUGGAUGAGCUCUUGAUGUGGUGGGAUCCUCUGUUGAUUCAGGUCACCUCUGCCGCUUCAAGGUAUCUCCCAUGACAUGUAAUGAAAAUGGAGAUGGGUCUUGGACCUGAUGGGGAAGGGAUGCCUUUCACAGGGUGGGGAUCAUCAGUGGGGUCUCUGAUCAGCUUUCCACAGGGUGCCGAUCAUCAGAAGCGGGGUCUCUGAUCAGCCUUUCACAGGAUGGGGAUCAUUAGCAGGGGCUCUGAUCAGCCUUCCACAGGGUGCCGAUCAUCAGAAGCGGGGUCUCUGAUCAACCUUCCACAGGAUGCCGAUCAUCAACGGGUCUCUGAUCAGCAUUCCACAGGAUGCCGAUCAUCAGCGGGGUCUCUGAUCAGUCUUCCACAGGAUGCCGAUCAUCAACGGGGUCUCUGAUCAGUCUUCCACAGGAUGCCGAUCAUCAGCGGGGUCGCUGAUAAGCCUUCAGCAGGAUGCGGAUCAUCAGCGGGGCCUCUGAUUAGCCUCCUACAUGUCUGCUGGACUUGGCCUGGCGUUGCAGCCUGUAUCAGAUACGUUUGCAUUGCUGUACUAGUCCCUGUUGUGAUUUAGAUAGGGAGCAUUCCCCACAGGCUCAUGGACACUCAUUCUCCAUCUAGUGGGGCUGUUUAGGAAGGUUUUAUAAUGCAGGAGGUAGUGCUUCACUGCCGGAAGUGGAUCACCGUUGACUCUUGAGUUUUUUAUAGUCCACUUCCUGUCUUCUCUCUGCUUCCUGACUAUAGGUGGCAGCUGACUAUAGGGUUAGGGUAUACCUAACCCUCCUGUAGCCAUCCCUUCCCCGUGGUGGACUGCAUCCCUUCCAAACCAUAAGACAAAUCCAGGUCUGCAAGAUGGUUCAGUGAGUAAUGGCCCCUGCUGCCAAGCUCCCAAACCAGAGUUUGCCUCUCAGAACCCACGUGGUAGGAGAGAACUGACUCCAUCAAGUUGUCCUCUGGCU